GAUCUUUUUCUCUCACAUCCGUUUCUGCCAUUACACUAUCCUCCAUGAAGCGACACAACCAAUAGAGACUCUCAGUAGAGGUGUUGCAGUGCUGUUUAAAAUUCUGAACUCCAAAACAUUUGCUCUCACAACCAUAAACCAAAACCAGAUUUCCUCUGUAGCAGUACCUAGACAGAAGAAAGUUUUGAUCUUCGGAAAAUUGUCUUAUCAAAUGCUCAAACAGGAAUUGAAUCCUUCCAAAGUUAACCAUAUACGUCUGGAAAUAAAGAGCUGUGUCUUUGGCUGUAGCCUAAUAUAAGAACUGUGCCUGACAGGGGAAUUUGAUGUUGAAUAGGUGUGUUAGUCUGAUUUUUAUAGCUGUGACCAAUAUACCUGAAAAGAACAACUCAGAAAAGAAAAAAAGUUGAUUUUAAGAUCACAGUGUUAGAGUUUUAGCCCACCUGCUGACUUGAUUUCUCUGAGCCUGAAGUGAGGCAAACCACAAUAGUGUAAGUGAGUAGUGGAGAAAAACAAUACACUUCAUGUUAGUCAGGAAGCAGAGAGUGAGAAYAAGGAGCCAGAGCCAAAAUAUACUCAAUACUAAAGGGCAUGUUCCCAGUGACCUAAUUCCUUCAGCCAUCCCCCACCUUCAUACAAUUACUAUAUGUAGUCCAUUGAAAUUAUUAAUCCAUCA
Molecule: long non-coding RNA, 673 nt
Organism: Urocitellus parryii (Arctic ground squirrel)
Lineage: Eukaryota; Metazoa; Chordata; Mammalia; Rodentia; Sciuridae
Source: RefSeq, a predicted model, not a curated record